RNAcentral lists this unclassified non-coding RNA (90 nucleotides) under Pseudomonas mediterranea. The record is from RNAcentral. Lineage: Bacteria; Pseudomonadati; Pseudomonadota; Gammaproteobacteria; Pseudomonadales; Pseudomonadaceae.
UGUGGGAGCGAGCCUGCUCGCGAUAGCGUAGUGUCAGCCAACAUCAAUGUUGCCUGAUUCAACGCCAUCGCGAGCAGGCUCGCUCCCACA